This 1251-nucleotide ribosomal RNA is filed under the name Triticum aestivum (bread wheat). RNAcentral describes it as "partial small subunit ribosomal RNA". The record is from RNAcentral. Lineage: Eukaryota; Viridiplantae; Streptophyta; Magnoliopsida; Poales; Poaceae.
AUGCAUGCAUCUUGGUCAGAUAAUAGCCAGUUACUAGCUCCUCUUCGCUCCGCAGUGCCCCUCCUGCUGCGCUCCUCCCGCGUCCCGCUGCGGCCGCGUCCUGCCUCGGACAACUCCGGCCGCUCUGCGCGCGCGCCCAUGCCAGCGCCCCAUCCGGACUGGCCGGCCUCCGGCUGCUCCAAGCAACUAUACGAGCCCAUGCUCAUGGCCGCACAGAUCUCGUUCCUCUCUGGCCUAGUAGUACAGAUAAAAAAAAAUGAAGAAAAAAAGCACCAUUCAGCACCCAUCGCUGCUCCUGGCUGCACAGUCUGCCGCCCUCGCCACUCCGGCAGCGCCGGCUGCUCGCGCCUCACAGUCGGGUGCUCAGCGCUCGUCGGCUCCGCGCCGGCUGCCUCUGCCUCUGCCUGCGGCCGGGUGCUCCACCCCGAGCUCGGGCUCCGCCUCACCUGCGCUGGUACGGCGGCCGCCCGUCCGCUCCCACGCGCCUCCGCCACCCGGCCUGCGUCGGGCCGGCUCCGCCUCGCCGCAUCGCCGGCUGCUGCCUCGCGUGUUGCCCACCAGCAUCCGCCCACGCCGCUGCGGCCGGGCUCCGCUUCCGCUCCGCCACCCGGCCCCGCCCUGUGGCCGGCUCCCCCGCACCUCCGCCAUCUUCGCGGCGGCCCCUGGCCGGCUCCACCCUCACCACGGCCGCCUUCUCCGCGUCCCGGACCGCGCCCGCUCCCGCCGGGUCGCUCCACGCCCCUGCUGGCUCCCGCUCCUCCACUGCGCCAUCCGCGCGACCCGGCCGCCGCCUCCCGCGCGACCUGGCCGCAUCCCGUCGCCCCCGCCUUCGCGUGCCGGCCCCGGGCCGGUUUCCCGUCGCCGCCUCGCGACCCCAAUCCACCGUGCUGCAUCCGCACCUCAAGCCGGCUCCGCCCACCAACCCGGACGGCCGGCUCCGUCUCCAACAGGCCGGCCUCGAGCCCCUGUGCCGCCUCUACCUGGAGCCCGGCCGCGUCCGGCUCCUCCGCCGACUGCGCCCCGCCGCGCCACUUGACCCGCGCUGACCACCGACUUCGGAUUCGGCUGCACCGGGCCGACUCCGCCCGUGGCCGCCUGCUCACAGCUGUAGCCGGACCCGGCUCCGCGCUGUCCGACCUCCGCCUACGCCGCCCUGCGGCUCCGCGACUCCGCGCUUGCACCCAGUCUGCCCGUGGUCGCCUGCCCUGCAUGCCUCUUCUACUAACGCGCCCCGCCUGCCGUCUUGCCUAG